This 487-nucleotide ribosomal RNA is filed under the name uncultured soil bacterium. RNAcentral's name for it is "bacterial SSU rRNA". It matches the Rfam family "Bacterial small subunit ribosomal RNA", at positions 26 to 507 of the family's 1533-position model. The record is from RNAcentral.
AGAUUGAACGCUGGCGGCAGGCCUAACACAUGCAAGUCGAGCGGCAGCACGGGUACUUGUACCUGGUGGCGAGCGGCGGACGGGUGAGUAAUGCCUAGGAAUCUGCCUGGUAGUGGGGGAUAACGCUCGGAAACGGACGCUAAUACCGCAUACGUCCUACGGGAGAAAGCAGGGGACCUUCGGGCCUUGCGCUAUCAGAUGAGCCUAGGUCGGAUUAGCUAGUUGGUGAGGUAAUGGCUCACCAAGGCGACGAUCCGUAACUGGUCUGAGAGGAUGAUCAGUCACACUGGAACUGAGACACGGUCCAGACUCCUACGGGAGGCAGCAGUGGGGAAUAUUGGACAAUGGGCGAAAGCCUGAUCCAGCCAUGCCGCGUGUGUGAAGAAGGUCUUCGGAUUGUAAAGCACUUUAAGUUGGAGGAAGGCAGUUACCUAAUACGUAUCUGUUUUGACGUUACCGACAGAAUAAGCACCGGCUAACUCUAGUG